ACCUGCAAGCCGAGGGGUAUAGUUCUUUCGGGAACUAGAGACCGGCNCACGGGUGCGCAACGCGUAUGCAACUUGCCCUACUGAAAAGGAUAGCCCUUCGAAAGGAGGAUUAAUACUUUAUAACAGAUUUAAUGGCAUCAUUAGAUUUUGAAAGAUUUAUCGCAGUAGGAUAGGCAUGCGUAAGAUUAGUUAGUUGGUGAGGUAACGGCUCACCAAGACGAUGAUCUUUAGGGGGCCUGAGAGGGUGAACCCCCACACUGGUACUGAGACACGGACCAGACUCCUACGGGAGGCAGCAGUGAGGAAUAUUGGACAAUGGGUGGAAGCCUGAUCCAGCCAUCCCGCGUGUAGGAUGACGGCCUUAUGGGUUGUAAACUACUUUUAUCUGGGGAUAAACCUACUUACGUGUAAGUAGCUGAAGGUACCAGAAGAAUAAGCACCGGCUAACUCCGUGCCAGCAGCCGCGGUAAUACGGAGGGUGCAAGCGUUAUCCGGAUUUAUUGGGUUUAAAGGGUCCGUANGCGGAUUAAUCAGUCAGUGGUGAAAUCUCAUAGCUUANCUAUGAAACUGCCAUUGAUACCGGUNAGNCUUGANUGGAUG
RNAcentral lists this ribosomal RNA (600 nucleotides) under uncultured Chryseobacterium sp. Its description in RNAcentral is "bacterial SSU rRNA". It matches the Rfam family "Bacterial small subunit ribosomal RNA", at positions 53 to 652 of the family's 1533-position model. The record is from RNAcentral. Lineage: Bacteria; Pseudomonadati; Bacteroidota; Flavobacteriia; Flavobacteriales; Weeksellaceae.